This 244-nucleotide unclassified non-coding RNA is filed under the name uncultured Cortinariaceae. Its description in RNAcentral is "sequence contains ITS1". The record is from RNAcentral. Lineage: Eukaryota; Fungi; Basidiomycota; Agaricomycetes; Agaricales; Cortinariaceae.
UUGAAAUAAACCUUGAUGGGUUGCUGCUUGGCUCUCCAGGGAGCAUGUGCACACUUGUCAUCUUUAUAUCCACCUGUGCAUCUUUUGUAGACUGGGAUAAUCUCUCUGAAUGCCAGGCACUCAGGUUUAAGGAUUGACUUUCCAGAAAGUCUUUACUUCCACUUCCAGGCCUAUGUUUCUUCAUAUACCCCCAAUGUAUGUUUUAGAAUGUAAUAAACAGGCCUUUGUGCCUAUCAAACCUAUA